GGCACUGGUAAUGGCAUUCCUGCUUUAGCAGGUUGGGGUUCGAUUCCCUACGGUGUC
Oryzias latipes (Japanese medaka) is the source of this 57-nucleotide non-coding RNA. The record is from Rfam. Lineage: Eukaryota; Metazoa; Chordata; Actinopteri; Beloniformes; Adrianichthyidae.